Molecule: ribosomal RNA, 460 nt
Filed under: uncultured bacterium
Lineage: Bacteria
Description: partial 16S ribosomal RNA
Rfam family: Bacterial small subunit ribosomal RNA
Source: RNAcentral
CCUACGGGUGGCAGCAGUGAGGAAUAUUGGUCAAUGGACGAGAGUCUGAACCAGCCAAGUAGCGUGAAGGAUGACUGCCCUGUGGGUUGUAAACUUCUUUUAUAAAGGAAUAAAACGAGGCACGUGUGCCUGUUUGCAUGUACUUUAUGAAUAAGGAUCGGCUAACUCCGUGCCAGCAGCCGCGGUAAUACGGAGGAUCCGAGCGUUAUCCGGAUUUAUUGGGUUUAAAGGGAGCGUAGAUGGGUUGUUAAGUCAGGUGUGAAAGUUUGCGGCUCAACCGUAAAAUUGCAAUGGAUACUGGCAGUCUUGAGUACAAUAGAGGUACGCGGAAUUCGUGGUGUAGCGGUGAAAUGCUUAGAUAUCACGAAGAACCCCGAUUGCGAAGGCAGCUUACUAAGCUGUGACUGACAUUGAUGCUCGAAAGUGUGGGUAUCAAACAGGAUUAGAUACCCUUGUAGUC